This 303-nucleotide ribosomal RNA is filed under the name Triticum aestivum (bread wheat). Its description in RNAcentral is "partial small subunit ribosomal RNA". Lineage: Eukaryota; Viridiplantae; Streptophyta; Magnoliopsida; Poales; Poaceae. The record is from RNAcentral.
AUGCUCCACGCGCUGCUCAAGUGGCCGACGGGCUGCGGCGCCGUGCUGCUGUGCUCGGAGAUGGGAGGCCCCGUUCUAAAGGCGCUCGUCGACGCGGCCGGCCUCGUCGCCUCCUACAAGAAGAGCACGUUGUGGCACCGUGUCCGGAGGGGCAGGGGCAUGGCCGCCCAGCUCCGGGACAUGCGGGACGUCGUCGACUCCUACUGCGGCCUCCUGCUCUUCGCCAACGCACAUCUCCUGCUUCCUGCCACAGCCGGCGACUCGUCGUCCCCCGUCAGAUGCCACCACGUACGGGGUUCAUGA